ACGGAGGGUGCAAGCGUUAAUCGGAAUCACUGGGCGUAAAGCGCGCGUAGGCGGCACUGUAAGUCAGGGGUGAAAUCCCACGGCCCACCCUGGGAACUGCCCUUGAUACUGCCUUGCUUGAGUGAGUGAGAGGAUAGCGGAAUUCCUGGUGUAGGAGUGAAAUCCGUAGAGAUCAGGAGGAACAUCAGUGGCGAAGGCGGCUAUCUGGCACUAUACUGACGCUGAGGUGCGAAAGCGUGGGGAUCAAACAG
Molecule: ribosomal RNA, 251 nt
Filed under: uncultured bacterium
Lineage: Bacteria
Description: partial 16S ribosomal RNA
Rfam family: Bacterial small subunit ribosomal RNA
Source: RNAcentral